ACAGCGGGGCCUCGACUACGUAGUUCGUAGUCUCGGUGGAUAGGAGCGCUAGGGUUUUUGCCUGGCUGCUCAAUGGUGCGGGAGGAGAGGAUAGGAGACGGAGGAAGAGGUAGGAGAUAAUAACUUUAUUGCUUGCCCUCAAAGGGUGCUGAUUAUACGAUAUAUAAAGGCCCCAUGGGCUGCUAACAAACUAGAAAUCUAUACGUAACAAACUAGUCUUUUAUUCUAGGAACUAAUGUAUCAGGACCAGGACUCCUGCCCAGCCUACGCCUCGCCUGAUGUGGCCGACGGCUGCUGCUCCUGGCCGCGUGGCCCACGCCUGUAGGACGUGCCCCACAUGACAUACAUGCGAAUGUGCAUAAUAACAAGGCUGAGAUCAGGGACCCAACCAGUCACCCUAAUGUGCAUAGAAAAGAUUGAAGGGUGAUGCCACAAGGACCGAUGAGGAAAUCAAACUGAGGGUAUCUACGGUUAUCCUAUUGAGAUCCAAGCUCUAUUGUACAUGAAAUUAAGAUGUGCUCUUCAAAUGCUUAAGCCGGAUGGUGAAGGGGAGGACUUCAUAGAAAAGGUAGGGCAACGACUACAUACAUUAACCUACCACAUGAGAAAUUACUUCAGGCUUGAUUUCCCACAUCUAAAUAACAUCUCUAGAUACAAAACAGAAGAGUACUCCCACACUGCUGUGAACAGGUAAUCGUUGUUUAAUUUCCUUUUUCUUUUUCUUUUGAUCCGACUGGCAUGGAAAAUGAUGAUUCACUUUAUAAUGUCAUCUUAUUUUAUUUUGUGUAUAUCUUGCUAAGUAAAGCUUGAUUUUUAUUAAUUAGGCCAAAGCUUUCAUCCCCUUUACAGAAGAAAACAAAUAACUUGAUGCUAACAUGAGUUAGUUUGCUAUCUGUGGAAGACGAAUGUGUGUGAAUGGUAGGACUAGGGUUCCUACCGGCUCUACUCCUUAGGUUAUAAGAGCAGAACAUCGGCUGUUGGGGGCGAGGGCGCGAGCUCCGGCGCUUCGGCGCCGUCGCGAUGGAGGAGGAGGGCGGCGGCGAUUAGGGCUGGGGGCGGCUAGGGUUCCGGCUCCUCUGGGAGCCGGGCAAUAGAGAUAAUAUUCUUCUUAUUGCUUAAUUCC
Molecule: long non-coding RNA, 1123 nt
Organism: Triticum aestivum (bread wheat)
Lineage: Eukaryota; Viridiplantae; Streptophyta; Magnoliopsida; Poales; Poaceae
Exons: 3
Source: RefSeq, a predicted model, not a curated record